RNAcentral lists this unclassified non-coding RNA (324 nucleotides) under Hevea brasiliensis (rubber tree). Lineage: Eukaryota; Viridiplantae; Streptophyta; Magnoliopsida; Malpighiales; Euphorbiaceae. The record is from RNAcentral.
CCCGCAGCCGGCGCAGGAUGAGAUAGAGCACGCCGGUCAGUGCCAGCGCGGACGCCGUUGCAAUCAGCCGAUCGACCGGAACGACGACGUCGAACAGCGAGAUAGAUCCCAUUGGCGGCGUCAGCGUCAGCUUCCGGUAAUCAGCCUUGAAAUAGUAGAUCAUCGCAUUGUUGAGAAUCAGAUCGAGACCGAAGGUCAGCGUCAGCGUCACCAGCACCGGAGCGGUGAUGACACGGUUGAGAAUAANNNNNNNNNNNNCUGAAUGACGUAGCCGAACGCGAAGAAUAACGGCGCCGCGAUCGCCAGUGCGUACCACGGCGAGAU